GCAGAUUCGUCCACCAUGAACCAGACUAGUACAACUGAUGCAACGGAGAGAACCACAACAACGGAAACAGAUUCGUCCACCAUGAACCAGGCUAGUACAACUGAUGCAACGGAGAGAAUCACAACAACGGAAACAGAUUCGUCCACCAUGAACCAGACUAGUACAACUGAUGCAACGGAGAGAAUCACAACAACGGAA
Molecule: long non-coding RNA, 198 nt
Organism: Asterias rubens (European starfish)
Lineage: Eukaryota; Metazoa; Echinodermata; Asteroidea; Forcipulatida; Asteriidae
Exons: 3
Source: RefSeq, a predicted model, not a curated record